Molecule: ribosomal RNA, 468 nt
Filed under: uncultured bacterium
Lineage: Bacteria
Description: partial 16S ribosomal RNA
Rfam family: Bacterial small subunit ribosomal RNA
Source: RNAcentral
GACGAACGCUGGCGGCGUGCUUAACACAUGCAAGUCGAACGGAAAGGCCCUGCUUUUGUGGGGUGCUCGAGUGGCGAACGGGUGAGUAACACGUGAGUAACCUGCCCUUGACUUUGGGAUAACUUCAGGAAACUGGGGCUAAUACCGGAUAGGAGCUCCUGCUGCAUGGUGGGGGUUGGAAAGUUUCGGCGGUUGGGGAUGGACUCGCGGCUUAUCAGCUUGUUGGUGGGGUAGUGGCUUACCAAGGCUUUGACGGGUAGCCGGCCUGAGAGGGUGACCGGCCACAUUGGGACUGAGAUACGGCCCAGACUCCUACGGGAGGCAGCAGUGGGGAAUAUUCCACAAUGGGCGGAAGCCUGAUGCAGCAACGCCGCGUGCGGGAUGACGGCCUUCGGGUUGUAAACCGCUUUCGCCUGUGACGAAGCGUGAGUGACGGUAAUGGGUAAAGAAGCACCGGCUAACUACGUG